AAAUUGGAAGAGAAUUCACACCACACCAAAGCCUUGAAGCCUCGAAACUCUGAAGCUCUCAAGCAAAUCCCGAAGGAUCAAGAAAGCCCUCUUCGUUCUUCGUGAAAUCCUCCUUCAAGAUCAAGCCCCAACGCCCCUUGAAGAACUUCCACCAAUUCAAGAUCAAGCCCCGACGGCCCUUGAAGAAGGUGUUCAUCAUUCAUCAACUGUUCGUCCAAGAUCAAGCAUCGACGGCCCCUGGAUCAACAACACUACAUCUACACGUUUCAAAGAUAGAAUCAGAGGCUAAAUUUGUAGAAGA
RNAcentral lists this long non-coding RNA (301 nucleotides) under Malus domestica (apple). RNAcentral describes it as "long non-coding RNA (MDOM_LNC000681)". The record is from RNAcentral. Lineage: Eukaryota; Viridiplantae; Streptophyta; Magnoliopsida; Rosales; Rosaceae.